UACGGGGGGAGCAAGCGUUGUCCGGAAUUAUUGGGCGUUAAAGAGCUUGUAGGCGGUUUGUCGCGUCUGCUGUGAAAUUUCGGGGCUCAACCCCGAACUUGCAGUGGGUACGGGCAGACUAGAGUGUGGUAGGGGAGACUGGAAGUUCCUGGUGUAGCGGUGAAAUGCGCAGAUAUCAGGAGGAACACCGAUGGCGAAGGCAGGUCUCUGGGCCAUAACUGACGCUGAGAAGCGAAAGCAUGGGGAGCGAACAGG
Molecule: ribosomal RNA, 255 nt
Filed under: uncultured bacterium
Lineage: Bacteria
Description: partial 16S ribosomal RNA
Rfam family: Bacterial small subunit ribosomal RNA
Source: RNAcentral